CUGAAGAAGGAAAACCUGGAGAUCAGGGCUUGGAGGGAACUGGAAACAUUGCUGUCCACCUUCCCCAAGAUAUAAAUGAUGAUCAUUUUGAAGAUGUUUCAGGGAUUCUGCAUUUGACAAGUGAUUCAACAGUGAAGUUUACUGUGAUUGUAUGGUGCACUUUGGACAAAAAGAGGGUUUCCCUACAAAGUCCAAGCUGGUCUUGAACUCAUGAUGUAGCUCAGGCCGACCUCAAACUCAAGGCAGUCCUCCUGCCUCAGCCUCCCAACUGCUGGGAUUACAGUGUUUUCCUCUGCCUUGUUCAUUGGGUCUGGCACCAUGCAACUGAUGGCUGUUCCCUAAAGUCAGAAUGACAUGGAAGAUCAGUGCUUUGAACUGAUUGAGGAACUGAGGCAGCCAUGACGGAGCCACCAAAGACACAAAAAUGUUCUUCAGGGACUGACGCAGGAAGUCCAAGCGUGAUGGGAGUCUCCAGACAGUUUUAUAUCAAACACCGGACCAUUUCAGUAUUUCCUGAGUGGUGAUCCUAACAAGCCCUUGGAAAAUUCCGGUUUUCCUGAAGAUGUUCAAGGACCACCUGGGAACGGCAACACUGGCACUCUGCAGGUGGUGGCAGCUGAAGGAAGAGGUGAAGUAAAGCACGGAGGAGAAGAUGGCAGAAGUAACAGUGGUGCCCCACAGCAUGGGAAGCGAGGUGGAGAAAGCGAGGGGUUCUCUCAUGUCGGAAGAGCGAGAGGGCACAGGAUGCCACAUCUGAGUGAGGAGACGAAGGGCCGACAGGUGGGCAGUGGAGGUGAUGGUGAGCGCUGGGGCUCAGACAGGGGCUCCUGAGGCAGCCUCAGUGAGCAGAUUGCUCUUGUGCUCAUGCGACUGCAAGAGGACAUGCAGAACGUCCUGCAGAGGCUUCAUAAGCUGGAAACACUCACUGCUUCGCAGUGCAGGUUGAGGGAGACAGACAGAUCUACCUCUGGCUGCUGUGCACUGUCACCAAAAGGCCACAUCCUGCAGACAGCCAGCGUGGGCAGAGAGAACCAGCAGAUCCACCUUCCCCUUCAGGAAGCUGACACCAGAAGGCUUCUUCCUGCAGGUAGCCAGUGGGAGCAGGAACCCACAGCCAGAAAACUGAACUGAAGAAAAUGAUGUUUUGCUCAAGAAGACUGCUGGGCCUGGAUGAUCUCAGAAUGAAAUGGAUUUGGAGCGCACAAGAAAAUCUUAAUUACAUUUCUUUUCUGUUGUCCAGUAGUUCGGUUUGUGUACAUAUAUACUUGUAUAAUUUUUGCAUUACACAGUGGUAACAUUUUGAGGACUAAUAUUUCUGAUACUUGAAUAAUCAAUCUCAACUAAUAAGGCCCCGAGGGUCCUUAGAAAAAAGGUGGGUGAGGAAGAGGAGUCCAGCAAUUCUGAACGCUGAUGGCUUCUAGUCCAGAUGGGACUGAGAAUUACAGCCCUUUUUAAUUUUUAUUUUUAUAGGCAAAUAUAUUUUAUAUAUGGUCAACACUGACUUUUUACCAUUAUAUAAACUUGGGAUGACAAAGGGCUCCAGUUUGUCCUCCCCUUUUUAGAAUAUAAUCUCAUUUUAAUGGAAACAUUUUGCAGUAAAGGUUUACUGAUCUAAUACUGUCAAAUUCUGAACACAUUUGUUUUUCUGUUUUUUUGUUUCUGUUUAUUACCAGUCAAUUAUCUUUUUUUUUUAGCUUUUUAGACAACAUUAAAACUAUUCGGUAUUCACACAUGCGAGAUUGAUUUAUUUCACUUAUGAGUAUGGUCUCAAGCUGCGUAAAAUAGCUAGUUUUGUAGGACACGUAGAGUCCAACUCUGAAGUCACCCGGGAGAGAGUUGGACAGGUUGUAUGGCGGGAGGGUGGGGCACUGGGAGCUCUACGUGUGUUCUAUCCAAUUUAGCUGUGACCCGAGAAGAGCCCUAAAAAGUAGGCUAUACUGAGUAGUACACCGAAAAGAGAAAAGCGGCGCCCGAAAAUCUGCGGUCCCCUGCCUCCCUAAAUAAACUCGGGCUAACUCUGCCUGCCUCACCCAUGGACCUGUGCCCACCCGCGGCGUCAUCACUGUGCUCAGGAGAAGCAAGCCUGGCUGCAUCGAGUCACAUGCUCGCUGUGUGGCCUCAGUGGGAAGGAAUGGACACAGCUGGGAGUUCCAGAAUCACCUCUGGAGAAGGAAAAGUUCCCCGAAGGAAAACGGGAAGGAACUGGGGAGGGCACUGGUGGCAGAACCAAGGAAGGGUGCUGAGCAGAAUUUAAAAGUAACAGUGACCACUCCGAUCUGAUUUGACCUACAAAACUAGCUAUUUUACGCAGCUUGAGACCAUACUCAUAAGUGAAAUAAAUCAAUCUCGCAUGUGUGAAUACCGAAUAGUUUCCCUAAUGUAAGUAAUGAUUCAAAUAUAUAAAAGUAUGUGGUAAUCAUGAUUCCCCAUUAUGUGGCCUUGAAGCCUUAUAAAGUUUUCACUUAUUAAUUAGAAAGGCUUUAUUCUGGGCUUCUUGAUAUGGAAAUAUUUGAAGCUAUAGUAAAUAAAGUUAUAUUCAAAUAUUUCAAGGAAAAAAUAUUUCAGACACUAUGGUGACUACUAUUAAGUCGGGUUAUUUGGUGGUGAAGCACUAGAUUGCUGAAACAGUCAUGCUUUGACCUGUAUUGUUAUGUUGUUAUGUCCUCUUUUAUCUCAAUCUCUCCCUUAUUCAUUAAAAAAUUAUUUAGUUAUUUUUUAUGGUUUUUUUAAUUAAGGGGAAAAAUCAAAAAAAUUAGUAGGAUAUAUUUAUAGUAACUUUUUUUGAUUUCCUAUUAACUUGUUUUGAAGUCCUGUAAUACUCCCACUAUCUUGUUUUGACUGAUUAGACUCUGUUCCAUUCUGUAUGAUAGUAUCAAGUUUGAGAGUAUAGGCAACUACUUUGAAGGCAAAAAGAUUCACUAAGAUGCCCACUCUGGUUUGACUAUUAUCUCCUUUAGAAGUCCUGUAAUGUUUACAAUGUUUAAGUUUUAUUGGUCUUGUUCUCUACUGUUUUGUUCAACUUUAUAAUACCUAAUGAGAUAGACAAUUCUUUUUAAGGAAACAAAAGACAUUAUGGUAACCAUUGUUGAUAACCUUGUACUCUGUUUUUACAUCAUGUGCUAUGUCUAUCCUUGGUUUUGACUGACAGCUUUGUUUUGCCAUAUUUUACUGUAUUCUCUUCCAAAAAAAAAAGUAAUAAGAACUAAGGAGUAAUAAAACCCAAAAUGUGUAAAUUUUAUUGUAAUGAAUAAGGGAGAGGGAAAAAAAGUUCUCUAAAGGAUACAACUGCAAGUGUGUUUAGGGGUGUUAAAUAGCUGACCAUAUUAAUGUUUUUGGUUGGAUCAUUGAACACAACUGUUUGCAGUCUCUCUGUUUGAAUGUUCACUUUGUAUGCUUUGAUACUGUGACUUGAGCAACUAUCUCUAAAAUGAUAAUGUGUAAUCUAUUAACUGGUGAUUUUGUUACUUUUUUUUUUUGUAGUUCUGUAUUACUUGUACCCUUACACCGCUUUGUUUUGUUUUUUCUCUUUUUCCUUUUAAAUAAAAUUUUUUUUAAAAAGUA
Cavia porcellus (domestic guinea pig) is the source of this 3561-nucleotide RNA transcript. RefSeq lists it as uncharacterized. The record is from RefSeq and is a predicted model, not a curated record. The transcript has 8 exons. Lineage: Eukaryota; Metazoa; Chordata; Mammalia; Rodentia; Caviidae.